CCUACGGGUGGCAGCAGUGGGGAAUAUUGGGCAAUGGGCGCAAGCCUGACCCAGCAACGCCGCGUGAAGGAAGAAGGCUUUCGGGUUGUAAACUUCUUUUCACAGGGACGAGUAGAAGACGGUACCUGUCGAAUAAGCCAAGGCUUACUACUUGCCAGCAGCCGGUGUGAUACGGAGGUGGCCAGCGUUGUCCGGAUUUACUGGGUGUAAAGGGCGUGUAGCCCGGUUGACAAGUCCGAUGUGAAAUCCUGCGGCUUAACCGAAGAACUGCAUUUGAAAAUGUGGCACUUGAGUGCUGGAGAGGCAGGCGGAAUUCCUAGUGUAGCGGUGAAAUGCGUAGAUAUUAGGAGGAACACCAGUGGCGAAGGCGGCCUGCUGGACUGCAACUGACGGUGAGGCUCGAAAGCGUGGGGAGCAAACAGGAUUAGAUACCCUAGUAGUC
RNAcentral lists this ribosomal RNA (442 nucleotides) under uncultured bacterium. RNAcentral's name for it is "partial 16S ribosomal RNA". It matches the Rfam family "Bacterial small subunit ribosomal RNA", at positions 338 to 795 of the family's 1533-position model. The record is from RNAcentral.